CUUAAAAUAAAGCCUAGCGUCAUAAUCCCUCCACGUUUUUUCAAAGAAAAACAUGCAUUUCAAGGCGCUAUGGAUUUCAAAGACCAUGGAUUUACUCAGAACUUAUGGGUUUUAAAAAAGGCUUUAAAAGGAAAUAACUAAAAAACUUUUCCAGUAAUUUAAGAUGAUACCGGGGAAGGUUUUCCGGUUUAUCCCGGAGGGCUUGUAGCUCAGUUGGU
This 218-nucleotide unclassified non-coding RNA is filed under the name uncultured Bartonella sp. RNAcentral's name for it is "partial 16S-23S ribosomal RNA intergenic spacer". The record is from RNAcentral. Lineage: Bacteria; Pseudomonadati; Pseudomonadota; Alphaproteobacteria; Hyphomicrobiales; Bartonellaceae.